AAUGAACGCUGGCGGCGUGCUUAACACAUGCAAGUCGAACGAGAAAGUACCUUCGGGUGCGAGUAGAGUGGCGCACGGGUGAGUAACACGUAGAUAAACCUACCCAUUGAUGGGGGAUAACCAGGAGAAAUUCUGGCUAAUACCGCAUAAGUUGGUAACAAGAAAGGAUGCUUCGGCAUUCGUCGAUGGAUGGGUCUGCGGGACAUUAGUUUGAUGGUGGGUAAUGGCCUACCAUGACUACGAUGUCUAGCUGGUCUGAGAGGAUGAUCAGCCACAC
This 277-nucleotide ribosomal RNA is filed under the name uncultured delta proteobacterium. RNAcentral describes it as "partial 16S ribosomal RNA". It matches the Rfam family "Bacterial small subunit ribosomal RNA", at positions 29 to 313 of the family's 1533-position model. Lineage: Bacteria; Deltaproteobacteria. The record is from RNAcentral.